GCACUGGUCCUAGAAGGCCAACUCCUUCCCCUGCUCCCCUGAAAGGUAUUGGGAUGGACCAACUCAAAGUGCUGGCUCCAGGCCUGGAUGGUAUCUGAGUUAGCCAGCCCUGGUGGGCUGGCGGUCAGGCAAGCCAGUGGACAGUUACCGGUGCCUAAGAUGCUACUGCUACUAUGUCUCUGCUGACUCUGUGUCCUUCGACUUCGUCGGAUUCGCCUAUCAGUUGUAACAACUUUUAUUGGAGUAUUUACCUUUCUAUAUAAAAUGAUGUCAAAUCGAAACUCGGA
This is a long non-coding RNA of Mastomys coucha (southern multimammate mouse), 287 nucleotides long. RefSeq lists it as uncharacterized. Lineage: Eukaryota; Metazoa; Chordata; Mammalia; Rodentia; Muridae. The record is from RefSeq and is a predicted model, not a curated record. The transcript has 2 exons.